RNAcentral lists this ribosomal RNA (446 nucleotides) under uncultured bacterium. Its description in RNAcentral is "partial 16S ribosomal RNA". It matches the Rfam family "Bacterial small subunit ribosomal RNA", at positions 329 to 792 of the family's 1533-position model. The record is from RNAcentral.
AACCAGACUCCUACGGGAGGCAGCAGUGGGGAAUAUUGCACAAUGGGGGGAACCCUGAUGCAGCGACGCCGCGUGGGUGAAGGAGCGUUUCGGCGCGUAAAGCCCUAUCGGCAGGGAAGAAGGAGGACGGUACCUGACUAAGAAGCCCCGGCUAACUACGUGCCAGCAGCCGCGGUAAUACGUAGGGGGCAAGCGUUAUCCGGAUUUAUUGGGUUUAAAGGGUGCGCAGGCGGAUUUUUAAGUCAGCGGUCAAAUCGGGGGGCUCAACCCCAUCCAGCCGUUGAAACUGGGGAUCUAGAGUGUGCGAGAGGUAUGCGGAAUGCGUGGUGUAGCGGUGAAAUGCAUAGAUAUCACGCAGAACCCCGAUUGCGAAGGCAGCAUACCGGUGCACAACUGACGCUCAGGCACGAAAGCGUGGGUAUCGAACAGGAUUAGAUACCCUAGUA